UUUUCAUCAGACAAUCUGUGUGAGCACUGCAAAGUACGCUUCUUUAAGGUAAGGAGGUGAUCCAACCGCAGGUUCCCCUACGGUUACCUUGUUACGACUUCACCCCAGUCAUGAAUCACAAAGUGGUAAGCGCCCUCCCGAAGGUUAAGCUACCUACUUCUUUUGCAACCCACUCCCAUGGUGUGACGGGCGGUGUGUACAAGGCCCGGGAACGUAUUCACCGUGGCAUUCUGAUCCACGAUUACUAGCGAUUCCGACUUCAUGGAGUCGAGUUGCAGACUCCAAUCCGGACUACGACGCACUUUAUGAGGUCCGCUUGCUCUCGCGAGGUCGCUUCUCUUUGUAUGCGCCAUUGUAGCACGUGUGUAGCCCUGGUCGUAAGGGCCAUGAUGACUUGACGUCAUCCCCACCUUCCUCCAGUUUAUCACUGGCAGUCUCCUUUGAGUUCCCGGCCGGACCGCUGGCAACAAAGGAUAAGGGUUGCGCUCGUUGCGGGACUUAACCCAACAUUUCACAACACGAGCUGACGACAGCCAUGCAGCACCUGUCUCACGGUUCCCGAAGGCACAUUCUCAUCUCUGAAAACUUCCGUGGAUGUCAAGACCAGGUAAGGUUCUUCGCGUUGCAUCGAAUUAAACCACAUGCUCCACCGCUUGUGCGGGCCCCCGUCAAUUCAUUUGAGUUUUAACCUUGCGGCCGUACUCCCCAGGCGGUCUACUUAACGCGUUAGCUCCGGAAGCCACGCCUCAAGGGCACAACCUCCAAGUAGACAUCGUUUACGGCGUGGACUACCAGGGUAUCUAAUCCUGUUUGCUCCCCACGCUUUCGCACCUGAGCGUCAGUCUUUGUCCAGGGGGCCGCCUUCGCCACCGGUAUUCCUCCAGAUCUCUACGCAUUUCACCGCUACNNNNNNNNNNNNNNNNNNNNCCUGGAAUUCUACCCCCCUCUACAAGACUCAAGCCUGCCAGUUUCGAAUGCAGUUCCCAGGUUGAGCCCGGGGAUUUCACAUCCGACUUGACAGACCGCCUGCGUGCGCUUUACGCCCAGUAAUUCCGAUUAACGCUUGCACCCUCCGUAUUACCGCGGCUGCUGGCACGGAGUUAGCCGGUGCUUCUUCUGCGGGUAACGUCAAUUGCUGCGGUUAUUAACCACAACACCUUCCUCCCCGCUGAAAGUACUUUACAACCCGAAGGCCUUCUUCAUACACGCGGCAUGGCUGCAUCAGGCUUGCGCCCAUUGUGCAAUAUUCCCCACUGCUGCCUCCCGUAGGAGUCUGGACCGUGUCUCAGUUCCAGUGUGGCUGGUCAUCCUCUCAGACCAGCUAGGGAUCGUCGCCUUGGUGAGCCGUUACCUCACCAACAAGCUAAUCCCAUCUGGGCACAUCUGAUGGCAAGAGGCCCGAAGGUCCCCCUCUUUGGUCUUGCGACGUUAUGCGGUAUUAGCCACCGUUUCCAGUAGUUAUCCCCCUCCAUCAGGCAGUUUCCCAGACAUUACUCACCCGUCCGCCACUCGUCAGCAAAGCAGCAAGCUGCUUCCUGUUACCGUUCGACUUGCAUGUGUUAGGCCUGCCGCCAGCGUUCAAUCUGAGCCAUGAUCAAACUCUUCAAUUUAAAAGUUUGAUGCUCAAUGAAUUAAACUUCGUAAUGAAUUACGUGUUCACUCUUGAGACUUGGUAUUCAUUUUUCGUCNNNNNNNNNNNNNNNNNNNNGA
RNAcentral lists this ribosomal RNA (1710 nucleotides) under Salmonella enterica subsp. enterica serovar Paratyphi A. RNAcentral's name for it is "16S ribosomal RNA". Lineage: Bacteria; Pseudomonadati; Pseudomonadota; Gammaproteobacteria; Enterobacterales; Enterobacteriaceae. The record is from RNAcentral.